RNAcentral lists this ribosomal RNA (492 nucleotides) under uncultured bacterium. RNAcentral's name for it is "partial 16S ribosomal RNA". It matches the Rfam family "Bacterial small subunit ribosomal RNA", at positions 29 to 507 of the family's 1533-position model. The record is from RNAcentral.
AGUGAACGCUGGCGGUAGGCCUAACACAUGCAAGUCGAACGGCAGCACAGUAAGAGCUUGCUCUUACGGGUGGCGAGUGGCGGACGGGUGAGGAAUACAUCGGAAUCUACUUUUUCGUGGGGGAUAACGUAGGGAAACUUACGCUAAUACCGCAUACGACCUACGGGUGAAAGCAGGGGAUCUUCGGACCUUGCGCGAUUGAAUGAGCCGAUGUCGGAUUAGCUAGUUGGCGGGGUAAAGGCCCACCAAGGCGACGAUCCGUAGCUGGUCUGAGAGGAUGAUCAGCCACACUGGAACUGAGACACGGUCCAGACUCCUACGGGAGGCAGCAGUGGGGAAUAUUGGACAAUGGGCGCAAGCCUGAUCCAGCCAUACCGCGUGGGUGAAGAAGGCCUUCGGGUUGUAAAGGCCUUUUGUUGGGAAAGAAAAGCAGCAGGUUAAUACCCCGCUGUUCUGACGGUACCCAAAGAAUAAGCACCGGCUAACUUCGUG